This 255-nucleotide ribosomal RNA is filed under the name uncultured bacterium. RNAcentral describes it as "partial 16S ribosomal RNA". It matches the Rfam family "Bacterial small subunit ribosomal RNA", at positions 57 to 305 of the family's 1533-position model. The record is from RNAcentral.
GCAAGUCGAACGUGAGUAUUUCAUACUUCGGUAAGGGAUAUGAAAGUGGUGAACGGGUGAGUAACACGUAGGUGACCUACCCCAGAGAAGGGGAUAACCAUUGGAAACGAUGGCUAAUACCCUAUGGUCCUGUUGUUGAUGGAAGAUAACAGGUAAAGGUUCAGGCGCUCUGGGAGGGGCCUGCGGUCGAUUAGGUAGUUGGUGGGGUAAAGGCCUACCAAGCCGAUGAUCGAUAGCUGGUCUGAGAGGACGAUC